This 69-nucleotide transfer RNA is filed under the name Marmota monax (woodchuck). It matches the Rfam family "tRNA". From Rfam's summary of the family: Transfer RNA (tRNA) molecules are approximately 80 nucleotides in length. Lineage: Eukaryota; Metazoa; Chordata; Mammalia; Rodentia; Sciuridae. The record is from Rfam by way of RNAcentral.
GGGGUUGUGGCUCAGUGGUGGAGCACAUGCCUGGCGUGUGUGAGUCACUGGGUUCGAUUCUCAACACCA